This 274-nucleotide ribosomal RNA is filed under the name uncultured bacterium. RNAcentral's name for it is "partial 16S ribosomal RNA". It matches the Rfam family "Bacterial small subunit ribosomal RNA", at positions 523 to 796 of the family's 1533-position model. The record is from RNAcentral.
AUACGGAGGGUGCAAGCGUUACUCGGAAUCACUGGGCGUAAAGCGCGCGCAGGCGGGCUGAUAAGUUGGAUGUGAAAGCCUACGGCUCAACCGUAGAACUGCAUCCAAAACUGUCAGUCUAGAGUGUGGGAGAGGAAGAUGGAAUUAGUUGUGUAGGGGUAAAAUCCGUAGAGAUAACUAGGAAUACCAAAAGCGAAGGCAAUCUUCUGGAACACUACUGACGCUGAGGCGCGAAAGCGUGGGGAGCAAACAGGAUUAGAAACCCUAGUAGUCC